CAAAGCCUCUGUGGUGGUGCAGGAGGAAGCCUGAGUUCUCACCGGUAAGGUCUAUCCCCAGGCUCAGGCCGCAGGGUCCUCUUGGCUGCUGUGUUUAAGGCAGCUUGGGUUAACUGUGGUCCAGACACAGGGAGGGUUCCGCCUGGUGUUCCCUGGCCAAGUGUCAGUACGGGGGUCCUGGAAGAUUGUGGGGGUGGUGGGGCAUCUCAGGUUCUCUCUACAGUCUUGCAUGUGGACGGUCCUUAUGCAAGGACUCCAGGGCCACUGCCAUCCUCAGCUCCCGGACACAGCUUGGUUCUGGGACCAGAAGGACAGGCCUGGAGUCUGAGGCAGGCAAAAUGCCAAGCUGGGCAUUCAGACCACGGGCACUGAGGGUGAAUUAUGGCACGAGGGCCCACGGAGCAGCCACAAAUCAUGGGGCUGUCAAGGACAGGGGAAAGGCAACACCCACCGCCUCCCCGGGCAGGAUUGAUGGACUGGGGUCCUGGGUCUGGGUUCAGGAUGAUUGGACUUUAUGCUGUUUUAUUUCCCCAGAGCGCUGCUGGUGCAAAGCGUGGCACCCAGGACCGCGUGUGUGAGUGUGCUCGUGUAUCUAUCUUCCCGCACGACUCCACGGGAGGGUGGGCUCCGGCUUGCCUCUCCAUGUGGCUCUGAUUUCAUUUCUAUGUGACCAGCCAGGCCUCUGAAUUGAUCAUGGGCUGCGAGUUGUGUGUUUUGUGGCUGGUGUGGCUGUACAUGGGUGACGAUCUGUGGAGCUGUGGAGUCUAUGGGUUUUGUGUGUGGCUGGACAGCAGUUUGCAUGUGUCUGUUGGGGACAAUUUGGGGGCCUUGAGGCCAUAUGUCUGGGUGGCUGAUGUGGUUAUAAUCCAGAAUGGGGACUGAGGAGGAAGAGAAGGUUGGAAUGAAGGUUUGGGGCAUGAUGAAUCUGAGGUCUGGGAAGAACAUCAAGGGGACAUAUCUAGAAAAGAGGGACAGGGACUCAGCAGGGAGCCUGGGGCAGGAGGGCCUGGACUCAGCUGCCUUCUACGUUUGUCCAGAUGACAAUGCACUGGGGAAAGUGGUGUUUGGCAGGAAUGAGGCAAACACACACACACACACACACACACACACCCCUCUGAAGCCGGAAAGGACACAUGCUGUGCUAAUCCUAGCUGGACAGAAUUCAGUAGGAAAUUUCCAAGGGUUGCUGAAAUGGCAUAAAGUGCACCAAUUGGUGAAAGGCAGCAAAAAUUCCCUGGCAGAGGUAAAGAUUCAGGGAAAUCACAAGAAAGGAGACUGUCGAAGGGAGAGAAGAAUGCUCUGGUUGUAGCAGUGAGGAAUGGGGAUAGGGACAGAGUCGGAAGGACUCAGGGCAGGGACAGCAAGCUAUUUUUGAUGGCAUAAUCUUAGAAGCCAAGGCCAGGCAAUUCUUCAAGGCAUUUCUAGUACCUUGCCCAGGAGUAGGUGUUGAAUUGAGCUGAUUUGGAGUCAAAAUCUAAAGCACUAUAACAGGGAAAGUCCAAGGACUUUACUGAAAGAACUUUGAAAACUACAGGAGACCUUGGGCGGGGCUGAUGGGAGGGGAAGCGGAGUUGGUGUCCCCAGCAUGUCCCCUCUGCACUGCUCCUCUUCUGCACGCUGGCUUCCUCCCUGGUCGGCCUCCAGGUCUGGGCUCUCAACCAGUCUCUGCUUUCCCUUCUUCAUUGCUCUUGAUCCCCCCCAGCGCUGACCUGGACUCUGUUUUCUGGUCACAGCCCUCCCCCGCCCCCACUAGUCUCAACAGGGGGGACAGCAUCUGUCUGAUCUUUUGCUGAAUAAGCCAGGUGGUCAGAAAAAGGGUGGUCCAGCUGGAGAGCACCCAGGACUUGGGCAGAGCCUGUUUAUCCCCAGUUCCAAGGACCUGAAUGCAAUGCAAGUCACAUUGAGGGAUCUGAGGUCCCAGAUGUGGUAGAAGACCUAACACUAGAGUGCUAAGGGAUGAGGGACAGGGGACUUUGGUGCCACAGCAGAGCACUAACAAGGUUCUGGCAGGUCAGAGGAGUGCUGUCUCAGAAAUCUCAGAUUGUGGUCUACACAGGUGUACAAGGAUGGGGACAGCCUCAGGGGCACAGGUGGUGAGCAGGGAGCACCUGAGGGACAUACGUCAUGUUUUAGAUACUAGUAGCAGAAGAGCUCCUAUUCAGUGGCCUUAGUGAUAAGAAAAGGCAUUAUCUCACAUGACAGGAACUCCCUCAAGAGGAAGGAAGAGCCUCUAUACAGUGGCUCAAUGCUGUCAUCAAAGAGCAAUGUUCUUGCUGUCUUUUGCUGCUAAACUGAGUGAGUUAACUUUGUCAUUAGGAUGGCUUCCUUCCUAGUCACAAAAGGGCUGCCCAGAUCCAGAUAUCCCACUCAGAUACCACAAUGUCCAGUAGAAGAAAAGAUAUUCUCCUUCUAGCUGUCUCUGAGUGAGGUGUCUUUCUCAGAAGUCCCUCUCCCAUCAGGCUCCUCCCCACAUGCCUGUACCUAAAUCAAUCACUGGCAAGGGGAAUGGGAUGACAAUACUGCUUCAUGCAUUUAGGAUCCGUCCAUGGAGCUGGGGUUUUGGGUGGGCCUGUGGCCAGCUGCCCUGAAGCACAGGUCCCGGAUAGGAGCGGAUCCUGGGUCGACAGUGAAUCAUCUCCACUCCGUCAGACCUCCCCCAGUGCCAGAGGGGAGCAGAGGUAGCGUGGAGCUGCUGUAGGACAGAAUGCUGGCAAGCAUUGUGCUCUGGGAGACCAAAUCUAGGAUCUAGUCAUCCAAGGUGAAGCCUGGUAUCCACACGGAGUCAGCAGACAGGUCAAAUUACCAAUAAAAAAGUUCUCAUUGCUGUUCCUGUCCCAACACCUCCCAUGCCCACUUCAGGACCAAAAUCCCUCAUUAGACCUGAAAAGCCCCACAUGAUCUAGUCUCUGCUUCUCAAGCUUCAUCUGGAGCUCCUCCAUCUGCUGCACGUGCAGUUGUCCUUUCUGCCUCAGGGCCCUUGCUCAUGCUGCCUUCCCCCUCCCUCAGUGUUCCCCCAUCAUUCCCUACCUCCUUUCAUUCAUUCUGCAUUAUAUUCCCAUAGCUCUCCACAAAUCUCUUUAGUCGUCUUUAGGGAACUUAUAAAUACUUGUUGUCUAUAUACCCUGCUGGACUCCAGGCUGUUAGUCAGCUUUAUAUCACUGUGGCCAAAAUACCGAACAAAAACAACUCAGGGAGGAAAAGUUUAACUGGGUUCAUGGUUCAUAGGCCUCAGUCCAUGGUCAGCUAGCUCUGUCCCUUUGGUUCUGAGGUGAGGCAGAGCAUCCCGGUGAAGGGUGUGGCAGAGAGAGCUGUACUCAUGAAAGCUGCCAGGAGCAGAGAGAACAAAAGGACCCACAGGGCCUGCAGGAGAAGGCCAUGCCUCCAGGGGUGCCCCAGUGGCCUGCUUCCUGCCGCUUCCUGCCGCUAGGCCCCACCUCCCAGCAGUCCCUCCGGCCAGAACCCUGAUCAUCCAUCCCUUCCCCAAGCCCCACCUCUGGUCAUUGCUGCACUGGGGACACGUGAGACUGGGGGACACUCCAGACCCACAGCAGGCUCCUUGAGGUCAAGAAGAAUGUCUAUCAUCUGGACACUGUGCUGACACCCGAAACAGUGCUUGGCACACAAUCGGCAUUUAAUGAAUAUCCACUGAAUGUGUGAAUGAAUGAAUCCCCACAACGAGGGUCAGCUGGGUCCUAAGCUUUGGGCAGGGACUGUGGCUGGGGGACUGAUGAAGAGUGUGGCCUGUCAGAGGCCCCUGGGGAUUUCUGAGCACAGAAACAGCAUGACUAUUACGGGCUCAAGGGCAGCAAGGGUAGCUGUGUGCCCAGGAGGGGUAAGGAGGCCAGCCAGGACCCUGUGCUCUCCUGCAGGCAUUAGGUUCCAGCCAUGGGAGCCGUGUCCAGGAGAUCAGUAAUGACACCCUGAAGACAGGUGGGCUGGUGUGGUUCAGCACUGGGGCCAGAGAUCUGGAGCAAAAUAAGGGUGCUAAGAGCAUCCGCCUUACGGGGUCACAGGAAGAGUCAAGGGGACGAGGCGUGUAAGAAGCAGUCUUUUGUCUGUAGAUCCGCAGUACAAAGCCUGGGCUUUGCCUUUGCUCCAGUCCCCAUCCCAGGCCAGGUCCGAAUCUGUCCUAUUCCUCUCUUUCCUCCCAGCCUGAGGCACACCAGGACUAUGCUCUCCACAAAACCAAACUUCCCUCAGCCUGUUUCUUUUUCCAGUUAAGUGGGUGCAGCAAUGUCCCCCUCACCUGGCUGAUACGAGGUGACAUUAGAGAACACAUUUUGGGGUGCUUUAGAAACUGUAAAGCACUGUGAACAUGAAGGAAUUACUGUUCCUAUUUUGCUAGAGUUGGGCUCAUUCCUGGGCCUGGCAUCUGCUUUGACUUUCCCAGUUCCUGUUUCUUGCCAGUCUCCGUUUUCUUGUAGCCACCCACGAUUCUGGCACUGACAGCGUAAGGAUGGGGAGUUUGAAUGUAGAAGGAAAAAAGGAGGAACGUGACAACAACCAGCAGCCCCCUGCCUCGUUUCCAGUCUCAAGGAUGAUCCUCCACCUCUCCAAGGCAGCAUCCCCCAAGCCUGGGCAUCCUCCAUGUUCCAGUGACCUAUCGCCGCAUAACAAACCCCUCCCAAACCUAGUGACUUGGAACAACACUGUAUUAUUAACUCCUAGGAGGUCAACUCCGACGGGCAGUUUCCCACCUCAUGGACUCUGGUUGGGUUGCAGUCAGAAGUGGCUGGGACCAUCUGAAGGCUGGACUGGACAGACAUUCCCCAUUCACAUGCCUGCUGCCUGGGUGGAAUGGUUGGCACAUCUGGGCCUGGAUCUCCGUGCAGCUUCUGUCCAGGGCCACCUACAGGGCUUAGUUGAACUUACACAAGACAGCUGACUUCUCCUGAGCAAGCCUGCUAAAGAACCAACAGAGAAUUUCUUUGGCUUCUUCUGACUUAGCCUCAGAAGUCAUGGGUUUCACUUCUAAUGCAUUUUCUUGGUUACAUAGGGUCAGCCCCGAUGCAGUAGGGGAGAGGAUUCCCAAGGGCCUGGAUACUGGAAGGCAUGGCUUGUCGGGGAGCCAUCUUUGGAGACUGUCCAGCCAGAUCUUGGUCUGGUGAUUGGAACACUGCCCUGUGGAGUGCUCUUGCCAUGUUUGGGUAUGUGGAAUGUGUCUCCCAAAGAUUCAUGUGUUGGAGGCUUUGUCCCCGGGAGGCAGUCCUGGGAGAUGGGGUGGAACCUUUGAGAGGUAAGGCCUAAUGAGAGCUCUUAAGGUUAAUUGGGGGCGUGUUUGCAGACAGGGGUGGUUAUCAAAAGAGGGUUGUUAUGGAGCCUGAGCCUGGCUCCACCCAGCCUCUCUUGCUUCCUGUUUUGAGUUGUGGAUUUUUCUCUUGCUCACAUUCCUGCAGUUGAGAUACAAUAUUCCAUGAAGCCCUCACCAGAGCCAAGUUGAUACUGGUGUGAUGCCUUCGAACUUCCAGGAUUGUGAGUUAAAUAGACCCCUUUUCUUUAUAAAGUUAGUCUGCCUCAGAUAUUUUGUUAUAGCAACAAAAAAAGGACUAAUAUGCCUCUCAAAGUUCAGGACUUGGGAAGGAGACAAAGGAGACAGCAUAAAGGGCACUGAGCAGCUAGGACUCCUGGGCCCCAACUUUAAACAACAUUCACUUAAUAUUUUGGAGUUUUACAAAUAACUUAAUGUGAAAUUAAAAGUUCUGAAGUUCACUUUGCUAGAGUGAUUUAGAGAGUAAAUAAACUUAAAGAAAUAUUCUUAACAUUAAUCAUUUGGGGAAUGCAAAAUAAAGUUUCAAUGAGAUAUUACUACACACAUCCUAAUAAGAAUGAUUAAAGUGAUAAUUUUUAAAACUAUCAAGCACUGGUGAGAAUGGGAACAACUAGAAUUCACACACAUUAAUGGUAGAAAUGCAAUACUGAACAGCCACCUUGGAAAACAGUUUCUUAUGAAGUUAUACAUACACUGCACAUAGGAUUCAACCAUUCCAACUCUCAGGUAUUGACUCCGGAGAAAUGCAAUGAUAUGUACACACAGAGACCUGUAAAUGUCCCUAGCAGCUUUCCUAAUAGUCCCAAACCAGAGAAACCAGUCAACCAAAGAAAGAAAUCCAAAUGCCCAUUGGAUAAAGUAAUUCUGGUGCAUCCAGACAGUGAUAGACUUCUUAGCAAUAAGAUCCGAACAGGUAGCGUUUGCAUGGAUGAAUCUCAAAAGCAUUAUUCUGAGUAAAAGAAACCAGUCAACAAAGCUCUAGGCUUUAUGACGAUCCAUUAUGAUGAUCUCUUCAAGAGGCAAAACUGGUCAUGGAAAGCAGAUCCAUGGUUGCAACUGUACCCCUGUCCUACAGCCAGCCUCGGGCCUUGGCUGGCUCUGCUCCCUCUUUGUGGACUCUUUCCUGCUCAUCAUUUGGAUAACUCUCUUUAUCCUUCAGUCUUCAGCCCUCACUUUUCCAAAGAGGCCUCUGCCCCUCCGAUCUAAAUUAGGUAGCUCUUUUCACUUGCAGGUGACACACUUGCUUUUUCUUCUCUAAUAGAGAGCAAGAUCUCCACACAUCUUUGGCACACAAUUAGCACUUAGCUUGUUUCAUGAAUUAAUAAAUGUGGGAAAGAUGUACAGUCUUCCUUUGUAUAGUUAUGUAUUGCAUGAAUUUGUUUAUUCACAAACAUGCGCUACUUUUUUUCAUUUUCAUGUAUUAUUAAACUACUUGUUGGAGAAUUGAAAUAAUUUUAAAAAUAUGUAAAGUCAAAAGUGAACAUUUUUCAUACCCACAGAUUUUUGAAAAGUAAGGUUCUACCUUUGCCUAUUAGUGUCCAGAAAUCUCACUUAUUCUUUAUAAUAGAUAUUUACAUAUCCCACAGUAUGUUUAUACCAUUUUAAACAUUAAUUAGUCACUGCUGAGAAUUUUGGGAUACCCCACCACUAAAGUUUCAAUGUUUUCUUAUUUAGAAUGCUGCAGUAUAUAUUAGCACAUAUUGUGCAAGUAUUAUAAAAGGAGAGAUUCCUAGAAAAUUGAACUGUUAGAAAAUAGGGAAUUUGUAUUUUAGAUGUAGAGUGUAUCUAUCUACACUAUUCCAAAAAUAGGUGUGCAAACACCUAUUGCCACUUCUGUUUAGGAGACAGCCCAUCUCAUAUGUCCAUACCCUAACCAACUUGGGAUAGCACCAAUCCUUGCCAAGUUUCCUCAUUCAGGUUAAAAUACAAUCUCAUCAUUUUAACUUCCAUCCCCAGCAUUUUUACUGAGGUUGUGUGUAUUAUCAUAAGAUUUUUAGUUAUUUGUAUGUCUUGAACUGUGAAUUCCUGCUUAUAUCCUUUGCCCAUUUUUAUGUUUUUUGCCUUAUUGAUUUGUAGGAACUCCUUAUGUAUGUAUGAUAUGGAAAUAGUUUGCAGGUUAUAAAUAACUUUUAGGGGGUGAUGGAUAUGUUCAUUCUUGAUUGUGGUGAUGGGUGCACAGGUGUAUACUUAUGUCAAAACUCAUCAAAUUUUACACUUUAAAUGUGUGCAGUAUAUUGUAUGUCAAUCAUACCUUAAUAAAGCUGUUUAAAAAAGAAAGU
Molecule: long non-coding RNA, 7548 nt
Filed under: Marmota monax (woodchuck)
Lineage: Eukaryota; Metazoa; Chordata; Mammalia; Rodentia; Sciuridae
Source: RNAcentral